RNAcentral lists this ribosomal RNA (467 nucleotides) under uncultured bacterium. RNAcentral describes it as "partial 16S ribosomal RNA". It matches the Rfam family "Bacterial small subunit ribosomal RNA", at positions 28 to 507 of the family's 1533-position model. The record is from RNAcentral.
GAUGAACGCUGGCGGCGUGCUUAACACAUGCAAGUCGAACGAUGAUGCCCAGCUUGCUGGGUGGAUUAGUGGCGAACGGGUGAGUAACACGUGAGUAACCUGCCCUUUACUCUGGGAUAAGCCUUGGAAACUGGGUCUAAUACCGGAUACGACCAUCUGGCGCAUGUCAUGGUGGUGGAAAGCUUUUGUGGUUUUGGAUGGACUCGCGGCCUAUCAGCUUGUUGGUGGGGUAAUGGCCUACCAAGGCGACGACGGGUAGCCGGCCUGAGAGGGUGACCGGCCACACUGGGACUGAGACACGGCCCAGACUCCUACGGGAGGCAGCAGUGGGGAAUAUUGCACAAUGGGCGCAAGCCUGAUGCAGCGACGCCGCGUGAGGGAUGACGGCCUUCGGGUUGUAAACCUCUUUCAGUAGGGAAGAAGCGAAAGUGACGGUACCUGCAGAAGAAGCGCCGGCUAACUACGUG